RNAcentral lists this ribosomal RNA (253 nucleotides) under uncultured bacterium. RNAcentral's name for it is "partial 16S ribosomal RNA". It matches the Rfam family "Bacterial small subunit ribosomal RNA", at positions 524 to 776 of the family's 1533-position model. The record is from RNAcentral.
UACGUAGGGUGCAAGCGUUGUCCGGAAUUAUUGGGCGUAAAGAGCUCGCAGGCGGUCUGUCGCGUCGGCUGUGAAAUCCCGGGGCUCAACCCCGGGCCUGCAGUCGAUACGGGCAGACUAGAGUGCUGUAGGGGAGACUGGAAUUCCUGGUGUAGCGGUGAAAUGCGCAGAUAUCAGGAGGAACACCGGUGGCGAAGGCGGGUCUCUGGGCAGUGACUGACGCUGAGGAGCGAAAGCGUGGGGAGCGAACAGG